Molecule: small nucleolar RNA, 74 nt
Filed under: Sorghum bicolor (sorghum)
Lineage: Eukaryota; Viridiplantae; Streptophyta; Magnoliopsida; Poales; Poaceae
Source: RNAcentral
GAGCAGAUGAUGAUGCAAUAUGUUUACACUGAUACUUGAUGUAUCAAAAUCGAGCUUUUUAAAACUGAUGCCAG